GUCAACAAGGUGAGGUCUGGUUACACCUCUAAAUAACAUGAGUUCCAGAUAGAAUAGCAUCAGAGACUAUGGAGAACUCUCUAGGAGGGUAGGUCAACAAGGUGAGGUCUGGUUACACCUCUAAAUAACAUGAGAGUUCCAGAUGGAAUAGCAUCAGAGACUAUGGAGAACUCUCUAGGAGGGCAGGUCAACAAGGUGAGGUCUGGUUACACCUCUAAAUAACAUGAGAGUUCCAGAUGGAAUAGCAUCAGAGACUAUGGAGAACUCUCUAGGAGGGCAGUUCAACAAGGUGAGGUCUGGUUACACCUCUAAAUAACAUGAGAGUUCAGAUGGAAUAGCAUCAGAGGCUAUGGAGAACUCUCUAGGAGGGUAGGUCUAGAAGGUGAGGUCUGGUUACACCUCUAAAUAACAUGAGAGUUCCAGAUGGAAUAGCAUCAGAGACUAUGGAGAACUCUCUAGGAGGGUAGGUCAACAAGGUGAGGUCUGGUUACACCUCUAAAUAACAUGAGAGUUCCAGAUGGAAUAGCAUCAGAGACUAUGGAGAACUCUCUAGGAGGGCAGGUCAACAAGGUGAGGUCUGGUUACACCUCUAAAUAACAUGAGAGUUCCAGAUGGAAUAGCAUCAGAGACUAUGGAGAACUCUCUAGGAGGGCAGGUCAACAAGGUGAGGUCUGGUUACACCUCUAAAUAACAUGAGAGUUCCAGAUGGAAUAGCAUCAGAGACUAUGGAGAACUCUCUAGGAGGGUAGGUCAACAAGUUGAGGUCUGGUUACACCUCUAAAUAACAUGAGAGUUCAGAUGGAAUAGCAUCAGAGACUAUGGAGAACUCUCUAGGAGGGCAGGUCAACAAGGUGAGGUCUGGUUACACCUCUAAAUAACAUGAGAGUUCCAGAUGGAAUAGCAUCAGAGACUAUGGAGAACUCUCUAGGAGGGCAGGUCAACAAGGUGAGGUCUGGUUACACCUCUAAAUAACAUGAGUUCCAGAUGGAAUAGCAUCAAAAACUAUGGCCAACUCUCUAGGUGUUACAGGGAUAUUGUAACAAGAUAAAAAUUCCUCAUAAUUGAGUAACAAUCCUUCUACAUUAAACAGUUGACUCACCAGCAGGAUAU
This is a long non-coding RNA of Oncorhynchus keta (chum salmon), 1110 nucleotides long. RefSeq lists it as uncharacterized. The transcript has 5 exons. The record is from RefSeq and is a predicted model, not a curated record. NCBI's taxonomy places the organism in Eukaryota, Metazoa, Chordata, Actinopteri, Salmoniformes, Salmonidae.